GCCGGACCUGACUGCUAUCCGCCUGAUCUUCGAUACUAAGCCAUGCGAGUCAUUGUAGCAAUACAAGGCAGACGGCUCAGUAACGCGUAGUCAAUCUACCCUAUGGACGGGAAUAACCUCGGGAAACUGAGAAUAAUGCCCGAUAGAACAUUAUGCCUGGAAUGGUUUAUGUUUCAAAUGAUUUAUCGCCAUAGGAUGGGACUGCGGCCUAUCAGUUUGUUGGUGAGGUAAUGGCCCACCAAGACUAUUACAGGUACGGGCUCUGAGAGGAGUGGCCCGGAGAUGGGUACUGAGACACGGACCCAGGCCCUAUGGGGCGCAGCAGGCGAGAAAACUUUGCAAUGUGCGAAAGCACGACAAGGUUAAUCCGAGUGGUUUCUGCUAAAGAAACCUUUUGUCAGUCCUAGAAACACUAACGAAUAAGGGGUGGGCAAGUUCUGGUGUCAGCCGCCGCGGUAAAACCAGCACCUCAAGUGGUCAGGAUGAUUAUUGGGCCUAAAGCAUCCGUAGCUCGUUUUGUAAGUUUUCGGUUAAAUCCAUGCGCUUAACGUAUGGGCUGCCGGGAAUACUGCAUAACUAGGAAGUGGGAGAGGUAGACGGUACUCGGUAGGAAGGGGUAAAAUCCUUUGACCUAUUGAUGACCACCUGUGGCGAAGGCGGUCUACCAGAACCACGUUCGACGGUGAGGGAUGAAAGCUGGGGGAGCAAACCGGAUUAGAUACCCGGGUAGUCCCAGCUGUAAACUAUGCAAACUCAGUGAUGCAUUGGCUUGUGGCCAAUGCAGUGCUGCAGGGAAGCCGUUAAGUUUGCCGCCUGGGAAGUACGUACGCAAGUAUGAAACUUAAAGGAAUUGGCGGGGGAGCACCAC
This 868-nucleotide ribosomal RNA is filed under the name uncultured archaeon. Its description in RNAcentral is "bacterial SSU rRNA". It matches the Rfam family "Archaeal small subunit ribosomal RNA", at positions 16 to 882 of the family's 1478-position model. The record is from RNAcentral.